RNAcentral lists this ribosomal RNA (508 nucleotides) under uncultured bacterium. Its description in RNAcentral is "partial 16S ribosomal RNA". It matches the Rfam family "Bacterial small subunit ribosomal RNA", at positions 28 to 523 of the family's 1533-position model. The record is from RNAcentral.
GAUGAACGCUAGCUACAGGCUUAACACAUGCAAGUCGAGGGGAAACGAUAUUGGAAGCUUGCUUCCGAUAGGCGUCGACCGGCGCACGGGUGAGUAACGCGUAUCCAACCUGCCCAUCACUUGGGGAUAACCUUGCGAAAGUAAGACUAAUACCCAAUGACGUCUCUAGAAGACAUCUGAAAGAGAUUAAAGAUUUAUCGGUGAUGGAUGGGGAUGCGUCUGAUUAGCUUGUUGGCGGGGUAACGGCCCACCAAGGCGACGAUCAGUAGGGGUUCUGAGAGGAAGGUCCCCCACAUUGGAACUGAGACACGGUCCAAACUCCUACGGGAGGCAGCAGUGAGGAAUAUUGGUCAAUGGACGAGAGUCUGAACCAGCCAAGUAGCGUGCAGGAUGACGGCCCUAUGGGUUGUAAACUGCUUUUAUAAGGGAAUAAAGUGAGUCUCGUGAGACUUUUUGCAUGUACCUUAUGAAUAAGGACCGGCUAAUUCCGUGCCAGCCGCCGCGGUAA